CCUACGGGAGGCAGCAGCAGGGAAUAUUGCACAAAUGGGCGAAAGCCUGAUGCAGCGACACCGCGUGUGGGAUGAAAUGCCUUCGGGUUGUAAACCACUUUCAGGAAGGGACGAAAAUGACGGUACCUCCAGAAGAAGGCCCGGCCAACUACGUGCCAGCAGCCGCGGUAAU
Molecule: ribosomal RNA, 172 nt
Filed under: uncultured bacterium
Lineage: Bacteria
Description: partial 16S ribosomal RNA
Rfam family: Bacterial small subunit ribosomal RNA
Source: RNAcentral